GACGAACGCUGGCGGCGUGCUUAACACAUGCAAGUCGAACGAAGAGCGAUGGAAGCUUGCUUCUAUCAAUCUUAGUGGCGACCGGGUGAGUAACGCGUAAUCAACCUGCCCUUCAGAGGGGGACAACAGUUGGAAACGACUGCUAAUACCGCAUACGAUCUAACCUCGGCAUCGAGGAUAGAUGAAAGGUGGCCUCUACAUGUAAGCUAUCACUGAAGGAGGGGAUUGCGUCUGAUUAGCUAGUUGGAGGGGUAACGGCCCACCAAGGCGAUGAUCAGUAGCCGGUCUGAGAGGAUGAACGGCCACAUUGGGACUGAGACACGGCCCAGACUCCUACGGGAGGCAGCAGUGGGGAAUCUUCCGCAAUGGACGAAAGUCUGACGGAGCAACGCCGCGUGAGUGAUGACGGCCUUCGGGUUGUAAAGCUCGGUUAAUCGGGACGAAAGGCCUUCUUGCGAAUAGUGAGAAGGAUUGACGGUACCGGAAUAGAAAGCCACGGCUAACUACGUG
RNAcentral lists this ribosomal RNA (510 nucleotides) under uncultured bacterium. RNAcentral's name for it is "partial 16S ribosomal RNA". It matches the Rfam family "Bacterial small subunit ribosomal RNA", at positions 28 to 507 of the family's 1533-position model. The record is from RNAcentral.